Molecule: ribosomal RNA, 464 nt
Filed under: uncultured bacterium
Lineage: Bacteria
Description: partial 16S ribosomal RNA
Rfam family: Bacterial small subunit ribosomal RNA
Source: RNAcentral
CUACGGGCCGCUGCAGUGGGGAAUAUUGCACAAUGGGCGCAAGCCUGAUGCAGCCAUGCCGCGUGUAUGAAGAAGGCCUUCGGGUUGUAAAGUACUUUCAGCGGGGAGGAAGGGAGUAAAGUUAAUACCUAUGCUCAUUGACGUUACCCGCAGAAGAAGCACCGGCUAACUCCGUGCCAGCAGCCGCGGUAAUACGGAGGGUGCAAGCGUUAAUCGGAAUUACUGGGCGUAAAGCGCACGCAGGCGGUUUGUUAAGUCAGAUGUGAAAUCCCCGGGCUCAACCUGGGAACUGCAUCUGAUACUGGCAAGCUUGAGUCUCGUAGAGGGGGGUAGAAUUCCAGGUGUAGCGGUGAAAUGCGUAGAGAUCUGGAGGAAUACCGGUGGCGAGGGCGGCCCCCUGGACGAAGACUGACGCUCAGGUGCGAAAGCGUGGGGAGCAAAUAGGAUUAGAUACCCUCGUAGUC